RNAcentral lists this ribosomal RNA (255 nucleotides) under uncultured bacterium. RNAcentral describes it as "partial 16S ribosomal RNA". It matches the Rfam family "Bacterial small subunit ribosomal RNA", at positions 524 to 776 of the family's 1533-position model. The record is from RNAcentral.
UACGUAGGGUGCGAGCGUUGUCCGGAAAUUACUGGGCGUAAAGAGCUCGUAGGCGGUUUGUCGCGUCUGCUGUGAAAACUGGAGGCUCAACCUCCAGCCUGCAGUGGGUACGGGCAAACUAGAGUGUUGCAGGGGAGACUGGAAUUCCUGGUGUAGCGGUGAAAUGCGCAGAUAUCAGGAGGAACACCGGUGGCGAAGGCGGGUCUCUGGGCCGAGUACAGACGUGGAGGAGCGAAAGCGUGGGGAGCGAACAGG